Molecule: unclassified non-coding RNA, 336 nt
Filed under: Hevea brasiliensis (rubber tree)
Lineage: Eukaryota; Viridiplantae; Streptophyta; Magnoliopsida; Malpighiales; Euphorbiaceae
Source: RNAcentral
CAAAAUUGGAGCCCCUCGAGAACAAUAUCACCACAUACAGAGGGGUACAUGUACGUGUAUUUGCUAAUAUAACAUAUGUGACCUGUAAUUAUACAGUAAAUAUGAGGAUGAUAGAAACAAUAAGCUAUCUUGCACUCCAAAGGAAAGCAGGGAGUUAGUAGCGAAAGUCAGCAGCUACUGGAUCUUUGCUGCCUAGUGUAUUCCCAAAGUGCAAUGGCACCACUGACAUGAACGUUGAGUGAUCGAACUAUUCCCAACUGUGGGAUUUCUAUGCAAGCAUCCAAGAUGUGAAUGAUGUCCACAGGUAUACCCUCUUUUUCUCGGCCAAGGACCAAG